AGAGUUCCUCAUGCUAUCAGUAUAGCAUUGACACUUAAUACCUUUCGUAUCGAUAAUAGGAUCAACACCCGACUCCUGCUUGCCUUUACGUUCUCAUUUUGUGCAUUGCAAGUGUAAUUAACACGCACAGCAGAGGGCACUGUUGCUUCAUAAACCCCGGACGUCAAUAUUUGGCCUCAACAGGUGAAGACAGUCAGGGUGGGCACCCCGACAGUAAUCUGGAAGCCAACUAGCACGUUGUCAACGUCAUUGGUCCCGCCAGACCCUAGCUCCAGUGGCCCCAAGUAAAUUGAGUUUGAGACCCCUGCUCUACGCCAUCACUGCCGGGUUAGGCAACAAUAACAGAGUGGCGGUGCUGGUGACCCACCUUCUGCUUUGAUGACAGGACGCCGACCUCCUCACUUCCAUAAGGAAACAAGGCCAAGGGAGGGACAACAUGCUCUUGUUCUCUCCAAAUAUGAAAAAAGGAGCUGCUCCCGUGGGAGGAAGCACGGCAGUCCUCAUCUGAGAGAAUGACUGAGCACCAACGCCCUCCUCCUCCUCCUCCACCCAGAGCAUGGAAAUUGUUUUACGCCGCCAAUUAAUGUAGGUCAUCGAACAAGUUAUUACUCGACCACCAGUGAAGCACAAAGUUUUCCUUUGAAAGCUGCGGAAGUGACAAAGAAAAAGGAAGUGGAUGAAAAUGAUGCAUACCAUCAGGUGCCGGGAGUCCAGAGAUGCUGUCCUGCAACAGGCAUCGUCUGAAUGUCAGCGCCUGGCACGCCUGGUAAGACAGCACACACCUGGACAGGCCAAGAGAAAGGUCUUAAAGCUGGCUGACACGCACACACACACAAGACAACAAGCAUGAUGCGUGUGUAAAUGUCAAAAAAGGAAAUGGCAUGAUAGCAGCACUGUGAAGGUAAAUAAAUAGUCAUUCACUCUUGUGUACCUACCUGAACCACAUGUGACCAUUUUCACACACUGCUUGUUUGUGAUCGGUGAAGGGCAGCACAUCCUGACAUAAGCUGCAGUGCUCCUGGAACGUCUGCUUGUGCAUUUUUUUCUUGAUGUGACCAAUCAGGAUCUAAAAAGCCAGAGACAACAAUAAACACAAGUUUUAUCGUACUUUCAGGCAAUGAGCCAGACAGGGCACGCCACUAAUACAUUAGGACCGCCAUAAAUAAAUCAGGCUCUACUGGUUUUCCCUUGUUCAUA
Doryrhamphus excisus (bluestripe pipefish) is the source of this 1197-nucleotide non-coding RNA. The record is from RefSeq and is a predicted model, not a curated record. Lineage: Eukaryota; Metazoa; Chordata; Actinopteri; Syngnathiformes; Syngnathidae.